This is a small nucleolar RNA of Lactuca sativa (garden lettuce), 107 nucleotides long. Lineage: Eukaryota; Viridiplantae; Streptophyta; Magnoliopsida; Asterales; Asteraceae. The record is from RefSeq and is a predicted model, not a curated record.
AGAUCAUUUUGAGGACAACUCCUAAGAAACCCUUUGUAUCUCUCCCAUGCUUCAUAUAAGGACUCUCUGACUUCUUGUUGAAAAUUAGCAAUCUUAUUCUUUAGCUU